This 259-nucleotide ribosomal RNA is filed under the name uncultured bacterium. RNAcentral's name for it is "partial 16S ribosomal RNA". It matches the Rfam family "Bacterial small subunit ribosomal RNA", at positions 524 to 776 of the family's 1533-position model. The record is from RNAcentral.
UACGGGGGGUGCGAGCGUUGUCCGGAAUCACUGGGCGUAAAGGGCGCGUAGGUGGUUUGAUAAGGGUGUGGUGAAAGUCCGGGGCUCAACCCCGGAUCUGCCGUGCCGACUGUCAAACUCGAGGACUGUAGAGGCAGACGGAAUUCCGGGUGUAGCGGUGGAAUGCGUAGAGAUCCGGAGGAAGACCGGUGGCGAAGGCGGUCUGCUGGGCAGUUUCUGACACUGACGCUCAUGCACGAAAGCGUGGGGAGCAAACAGG